AUGCCCUGCCCCAUAAUCGCGUAUUAUUAGUUCUAUAUAUCUUUCUUUUUGUCGAACACUAAUUAAUUUCAUCUUUAAAAGGGGCCAUUAAUGCUAAUUUACCACCACCAAGCUCACACCAAUAAUCCUGGCAAGCUAAAACUCCUAAUUCUUCCAGCUAUACCCAUGAAAAUGAAGAGAAGUAUGCUUGCAUGGAUUUUCUUCAUGAUUUGUUUUACGCUUCUUUCAUAUUAUGCAUGUGAAAGUUCUUUUACUCCUCGAUUCAACAAGCCACUGCAAAGGGAAAAUCAAAAUAAGAAUGAAAUGCAUCUAGAAGCAGGAAGUUUACAAAGACGUGCAAGAGGAGUUUAUGGCGGUGGAGAUCUCCUUCGUCCUCGUACCGGCCACCGGAAUGGAGCAGGCUCGUUGCCGUUGAGACCCUCUUCAUUCCUCUCCACCUUAUCCAAACACGUUGCAGUUGGAUUGAUCAUCUCUGUUUUCUUAAUUUUUUGAAAGCUAAUCACCACGGAACCUGAGAGCAUGAAGUAGGGUCUAGCAAACAACGAUCUGUAAGGAAUUAGGCCUGCUUAGUGUCAAUCGUACGUUAUUAGUGCAAACAAACGAUACAAUUCAAGAAUUAGGACUGUUUAGUGUCAAUCGUACGUUAUUGGGGAAACAAACUCAUCUGCAGAAUUUAGGAUUUGUUGUGUACAAGGUUUGUAUCCUUAAUGAUAGCUAACGGUUCGAAGUAAUAUUUUGGGUUUAAGGAGUCAUCUUUA
Molecule: long non-coding RNA, 758 nt
Organism: Populus nigra (black poplar)
Lineage: Eukaryota; Viridiplantae; Streptophyta; Magnoliopsida; Malpighiales; Salicaceae
Exons: 2
Source: RefSeq, a predicted model, not a curated record